RNAcentral lists this ribosomal RNA (251 nucleotides) under uncultured soil bacterium. RNAcentral's name for it is "partial 16S ribosomal RNA". It matches the Rfam family "Bacterial small subunit ribosomal RNA", at positions 26 to 287 of the family's 1533-position model. The record is from RNAcentral.
AGGACGAACGCUGGCGGCGUGCUUAACACAUGCAAGUCGAGGGCAGGGAGCAAUCCCUGACCGGCGAACGGGUGCGUAACACGUGAGUGACCUGCCGAUCCGCGGGGGAUAGCCGGCCCAACGGCCGGGUAAUACCGCAUACGCUCUUUGUCGGGCAUCCGACGGGGAGGAAACUUCCGGGGCGGAUCGAGGGGCUCGCAGCCUAUCAGCUAGUUGGCGGGGUAACGCCCACCAAGGCAGUGACGGGUAGC